RNAcentral lists this long non-coding RNA (1043 nucleotides) under Canis lupus familiaris (dog). RNAcentral's name for it is "lncRNA (ENSCAFG00040011439.1)". The record is from RNAcentral. Lineage: Eukaryota; Metazoa; Chordata; Mammalia; Carnivora; Canidae.
CCUGGCCCCCAGAGCCCGGCAGGACAGGGCGGUGGAAUUAGCUGUCUCGUGGGACAGCACCCAGGGGCGGCUCCUGGACUCCUGCCCUUGUCUCCACCGCGCACAGUUCUCACGGGGAUUAGCCUGAGGCCCAGCUCCUGCUCUCCUCGCACCCAGCAGGCGCGUCCUUCCCUUCUCUCUGCACCUGAGGCCCAGCUCCUGCUCUCCCCGCACUGAGAGGAGCAGGCCCAUCCUUCCCUUCUCUCUGCACCUGAGGCCCAGGUUCCUGCUCUCCCCGCACCAAGCAGGCACGUCCUUCCCUUCUCUCUGCACCUGAGGCCCAGGUUCCUGCUCUCCCCGCACCAAGCAGGCACGUCCUUCCCUUCUCUCUGCACCUGAGGCCCAGGUUCCUGCUCUCCCCGCACCAAGCAGGCACAUCCUUCCCUUCUCUCUGCACCUGAGGCCCAGGUUCCUGCUCUCCCCGCACCAAGCAGGCACGUCCUUCCCUUCUCUCUGCACCUGAGGCCCAGGUUCCUGCUCUCCCUGCACCCAGCAGGCAUGUUCUUUCCUUCUCCCUGCACCCACCUGGAAAAGCUGUCCCCCUCGCAGCUGCUCAGACUCCCUCCUGACCCUGCUGCUUUCCACAGAACUUUCUGGCAGCAUAGAGGUGAUGGAAAACAGAAGCACACAGCCCAAAGGGGAGUUCUGGAAGCUGGGCCAUGUCGCUGGGAUCUUGGCCCAUCCCCCUCAGGUUGCUCCCAUUCCAGGCGACUCCUAAAGGCUCUGCCACUGCCCCUGAACUCAGGCUCUCUUGCAGGGGGAAGGGGUGCUUCCGGUUGACCAGCAGCAUUCAGGGGCUCCAGGUCUGCUUCCCACAGCUGCUGCUGGCUCAAUAUACAUUUUGCAAAAGAAAGGAUGCAAGGAUUCGGAGAAGGAGGCACCUUCGAGAAGCUGUAGACCCACCAAAAUGUUCCCCAGCUUGCUCACAUGUGCUAACCUCGGCCUCCACCCUGACCACACCCACCCCUCCUGUACCUUCUCAUCCAACAAGCCUGCACCUGUGA